GCUCCGAAAAUUCAUGAAAAAUUCCAGAAAUUUUUUAGGGCAUAGAGAAUAUUACAGAAAUAUCCCCAACCAUGAUUUUUUAAAGGAAAUUUUAAUUCCCACAUUU
RNAcentral lists this small nuclear RNA (106 nucleotides) under Oryza sativa Indica Group (long-grained rice). Lineage: Eukaryota; Viridiplantae; Streptophyta; Magnoliopsida; Poales; Poaceae. The record is from RNAcentral. RNAcentral also lists the same sequence under 1 other name.